RNAcentral lists this ribosomal RNA (110 nucleotides) under uncultured bacterium. Its description in RNAcentral is "partial 16S ribosomal RNA". It matches the Rfam family "Bacterial small subunit ribosomal RNA", at positions 245 to 354 of the family's 1533-position model. The record is from RNAcentral.
GUUGUCGGGCGGGUAAAGGCCCACCAAGGCGACGAUCAGUAGCCGGCCUGAGAGGGUGAACGGCCACAUUGGGACUGAGACACGGCCCAAACUCCUACGGAAGGCAGCAG